CGACGACGACGACGACAUCGUCCUGUCCUGGGUGCUUGCCUGUGAGGGACUGCCUGCGCUUCACGAGUAGCAGAGAGUACAACGCGGCCCCGGAGCGCGCGCUGUGCACCACGCACCUCUACGUCAGACGCCUGGAGAAGCUCUACUGGCAUGCCAUGCAGACGGCCAAUGGUGAUGGCACAGGAACCUAAUGACACCAUCUGCAUCCAGUAUGGGUAUACCAGUCAGUGGAAAUAUGAGGACCAUAUCUGCAGGUGAUGAUGGGGCAGUGACGUGGUUCUCCUAUACACUAAGAUUCGCAAAGAUUGAGAAAAACUGGAGAACGUUCUCGUACUUGAAAAAAACUAAACUUUAUUUUCUUUCCUUUCCGAUUCGUACAAUCUUUGAUGACGAUGAAUGCUGUAGAGUACAGGACAAACUCAUGGACCACCUGCUACACACACGCACGCACACGCACAGACGCGCACACGCACACACGCACACUCACACUCACACACGCACUCACACCACACCCGCACGCACACGCACACACUCACGCACCCGCACACACGCACACGCACACGCACACACACACACACACACCGCACUGUUUACGACAAUGUCGACACUCACACAUACAGAGCGAAAAUAUACAAGAACUAAGAAGAAAUAAAACGAUUUAUCUAAACAUAAAACGAAUUAGUAGGAAAAUAAAAAUCCAGUACAAACAUAAAAGUACAACUAAAGACAUUUUUAGGAAAAAUGGUUCAUAAUGUGCCAAUGAUACAUUACACAAAGAGCACAUAAACGAAAAAUAAUACCCUUGCUCCUUGCUGGUCCAUCCUCCAGCAUGCCUAAACUGUUUAUAUAUUCCGAUUUACAAAAGAUUUAGACUUGACUAUCUAUAUUUAACUAGCGUAGGAUACAUAUGGCUCGACUAAAAUGCUACCUCGAUAAAAA
This is a long non-coding RNA of Priapulus caudatus, 939 nucleotides long. RefSeq lists it as uncharacterized. NCBI's taxonomy places the organism in Eukaryota, Metazoa, Priapulida, Priapulimorpha, Priapulimorphida, Priapulidae. The transcript has 2 exons. The record is from RefSeq and is a predicted model, not a curated record.